RNAcentral lists this ribosomal RNA (1087 nucleotides) under uncultured organism. RNAcentral's name for it is "bacterial SSU rRNA". It matches the Rfam family "Bacterial small subunit ribosomal RNA", at positions 100 to 1211 of the family's 1533-position model. The record is from RNAcentral.
AAAGGGUGAGGAAUAGAUAGGAACGUGCCUUUGGCUUCGGAAUAGCGUCCCGAAAGGGGCGGUAAUACCGGAUAACGUCUACGGACCAAAGAUUUAUCGGCCUUAGAGCGGCCUAUCUCCUAUCAGCUUGUUGGUGGGGUAAUGGCCUACCAAGGCAACGACGGGUAGCGGGACUGAGAGGUUGGCCCGCCACAUCGGGACUGAGACACUGCCCGGACCUCCACGGAGGGCUGCAGUAACGAAUAUUGGGCAAUGGGCGAAAGCCUGACCCAGCAAUGCCGCGUGUAGGAUGAAGCCCCUCGGGGUAUAAACUACUGUCAGGGGUUAGAAAGCUACGGUUGAUCAACCCCAGAGGAAGUCACGGCUAACUUCGUGCCAGCAGCCGCGGUAAUACGAAGGUGGCGAGCGUUAUUCGGAAUUACUGGGCUUAAAGCGCACGCAGGCGGAAUAUUUAGCGUCUUGUGAAAUCCCCCGGCUUAACCGGGGAAUUGCAGGGCGAACUGGUAUUCUUGAGGCAAGUAGGGGUGCAUGGAACUCUUGGUGGAGCGGUGGAAUGCGUAGAUAUCAAGAGGAACGCCGAUGGUGAAGACAGUGCACUGGGCUUGUCCUGACGCUGAGGUGCGAAAGCGUGGGGAGCGAACGGGAUUGGAUACCCCGGUAGUCCACGCCGUAAACGAUGCCUACUAGGUCGUGGUUGUUCUGACACACUCACGGCCGAAGCAAAAGUGUUUAGUAGGCCGCCUGGGGAGUACGGUCGCAAGGCUAAAACUCAAAGGAAUUGACGGGGGCUCACACAAGCGGUGGAGCAUGUGGAUUAAUUCGAAGCAACGCGCAGAACCUUACCUGGGUUUGACAUGUAUGGAUGCCUGCUGUGAAAGCAGUUAGGUUGCCUUCGGGUGAAACUUACACAGGUGCUGCAUGGCUGUCGUCAGCUCGUGUCGUGAGAUGUCGGGUUAAGUCCUUUAACGAGCGAAACGCCUUGCCGUUAGUUGCCAGCGGGUCAUUCCGGGGAGUCUAACCGGGACUGCCGGUGUCAAACCGGAGGAAGGUGGGGACGACGUCAAGUCCUCAUGGCUUUUAUGCCCAG